This 687-nucleotide ribosomal RNA is filed under the name uncultured bacterium. Its description in RNAcentral is "bacterial SSU rRNA". It matches the Rfam family "Bacterial small subunit ribosomal RNA", at positions 139 to 813 of the family's 1533-position model. The record is from RNAcentral.
UGGGAUAACACCUGGAAACAGAUGCUAAUACCGGAUAACAACACUAGACGCAUGUCUAGAGUUUGAAAGAUGGUUCUGCUAUCACUCUUGGAUGGACCUGCGGUGCAUUAGCUAGUUGGUAAGGUAACGGCUUACCAAGGCAAUGAUGCAUAGCCGAGUUGAGAGACUGAUCGGCCACAUUGGGACUGAGACACGGCCCAAACUCCUACGGGAGGCAGCAGUAGGGAAUCUUCCACAAUGGACGAAAGUCUGAUGGAGCAACGCCGCGUGAGUGAAGAAGGGUUUCGGCUCGUAAAGCUCUGUUGGUAGUGAAGAAAGAUAGAGGUAGUAACUGGCCUUUAUUUGACGGUAAUUACUUAGAAAGUCACGGCUAACUACGUGCCAGCAGCCGCGGUAAUACGUAGGUGGCAAGCGUUGUCCGGAUUUAUUGGGCGUAAAGCGAGUGCAGGCGGUUCAAUAAGUCUGAUGUGAAAGCCUUCGGCUCAACCGGAGAAUUGCAUCAGAAACUGUUGAACUUGAGUGCAGAAGAGGAGAGUGGAACUCCAUGUGUAGCGGUGGAAUGCGUAGAUAUAUGGAAGAACACCAGUGGCGAAGGCGGCUCUCUGGUCUGCAACUGACGCUGAGGCUCGAAAGCAUGGGUAGCGAACAGGAUUAGAUACCCUGGUAGUCCAUGCCGUAAACGAUGAA